This 1683-nucleotide unclassified non-coding RNA is filed under the name Stegodyphus dumicola. Its description in RNAcentral is "uncharacterized LOC118204007, transcript variant X4". The record is from RNAcentral. Lineage: Eukaryota; Metazoa; Arthropoda; Arachnida; Araneae; Eresidae.
GAAAGAUUAUUGGGGGUGCAAAACCCAGAAUUUCGGCGCUAUGAUUCUUGACCAAAAACUGUUGGUCUGAGUGUCAGAUUCGUUUAAAGUUAUGUUCUGCAUUGUGAAAUUCCUUGAUUUUCAAGAAGAAAAUGAAGCAGAGAUAGUGCCUACAUCAUGGCUAAAUGAAGACCAGUCUUUUUGUUUCUGGCCACCAGCAAAAACUACUUUUGGAGUAAUGUCAUUGGUGAAAAAUUUAGCUGUUCCUGCUGAUGACUGGAAACCAUAUCGUGUUUGUUGUAUACAGUUUUUUGAUACGUAUGCAGAAGCACGUACAAAACUGUAUGAUGCUGAAAUGCUUUCACAUUUUAAAGAAACAGAUGCAAUGAGAAAGCUGCAUUAUAGACCUGGAAAGAAAAGGCAACAUAAAGAAUUAGAAACUUCAGAUAUAGAAUUAGGAAAUCUGAUGAACCAAAGUUCUACCACUAUUCAUACACCACUGAUCCAAAGAAUCACUAUAGUAUCUUCAUCUUCAGAACAAAAUGACGUAUCUGAUUUUAAAUCUUCACAGGAUCUGAGAUCUGAUGGUCAUGAAUCACUUUGCUGCCCAUGUCAUAAGACACUGACAAACAUACUUCAGAAGAUUCAGUCUGAAAUCUCAGAGCACACAGAGAUUUUAAAUGCCUUAUUAGCAACAAAUAAAGAUGCAGUAAUAAAAUGUGCUCCAAAAAAUCUUCCAGUAGACUUGCCAACUUCAUCCAUAAAUGACUUGGAAGUUCUGGAUCGCUAUCUAUCAGAUGAAGCAUCAUUUAAUGCCUGUGUAUCAUAUUUUACAGUAUAUGGUGGACCAACAUUGACACAUGUUGUAAAAAAUAUUUUAAAGCACAUUUUGACAGAUGAACUUGCGAAAGAACAUAACAUGAAAGGUAGAGGGGAAAAGAAAGCAUUUGAAAGUUAUUCAAACAUGUGCACAAUGAUAUAUUGUACUACUGUGAAAAAUGCUCGAUGCAAGAAUGCCACUAUUUCAGAAGUCAUGAAGAUUAUUCAGCUGUGGCUACAACAUUCACCAGAUCGUUUAAAACUAGCAGGAAAAAUUUAAGUUUGCAGUUAUGACCUUUGUUUUGAAAAUUACCGCCACUGAACUUCCUGAUUCAUUUGAAAAUGAGGUAGUGGAACCAUUAGAUGACACUGUUACAAUAAGAAAUAAUUUGAAAAUUAUGGAAUUAUGGAAGAUAUCAACAAAUGGAUAUGAAAAUUUGCUCAGAAAACAAAUACUCAAUGGAAAACCAGAACUUCAAAUCCAAAUUGUGAACAUCUUUAUUUGUUCAUAAAAAGCAAUUUGCAUCAUAGUUCUCACAGGAAAAUUGGUAGAAAAAUGAGCUGAAACUGUGACUCAAAAAGUGCAGAUUGUAAAGCUUUUGUGAAAAUAAUGAUGAAGAAAUACAUAAGCUAUGUAAGAUGCAAGGAUAAAUUUGCCAGAAUCUGUGAUUUCUUGGUCCCCUUUUGCGACUUCAACUCCUUUCUCCUUGGAGAAUUAUGUUCCAGAAUUCUCACCGUCAUGAGCCCAUCGGGUAGCAUCUCAACUGAGCAGGAAGAAGUCGCACUACCUGCGUGAUAUUCUCGGCUAAUAGUGGAACUUGGAGCUUGGAUUGGUGUGACAGAAUCGUUAGCAUUUUUUUUAGUAAAAUUUAUGAUAGAAAUGGU